This 377-nucleotide unclassified non-coding RNA is filed under the name uncultured Actinomycetes bacterium. Its description in RNAcentral is "uncultured actinobacterium contains 16S-23S intergenic spacer region". The record is from RNAcentral. Lineage: Bacteria; Bacillati; Actinomycetota; Actinomycetes.
UCCGGCUUAUCACCGGCAGUCCCUCUAGAGUGCCCAACUGAAUGAUGGCAAUUAAUGACAAGGGUUGCGCUCGUUGCGGGACUUAACCCAACAUCUCACGACACGAGCUGACGACAGCCAUGCACCACCUGCACACCGGCCACAAGGGAAACCCCAUCUCUGAGGCGAUCCGGCGCAUGUCAAGCCCAGGUAAGGUUCUUCGCGUUGCAUCGAAUUAAUCCGCAUGCUCCGCCGCUUGUGCGGGCCCCCGCCAAUUCCUUUGAGUUUUAGCCUUGCGGCCGUACUCCCCAGGCGGGGCGCUUAAUGCGUUAGCUACGGCACGGAUCCCGUGGAAGGGAAACCCACACCUAGCGCCCAACGUUUACGGCGUGGACUAC